AUUGUUUAUAUAUCUCCUCAUGGUGCUGUUUUUGAAGCCUCGUGCCACCUAGAAUAUUUUUGCACAAACAAUCAAGCCGAAUAUGAAGCAUUGUUAUUCGGCCUAGAGAUGUUACUUGCUAUAGGCGUUACACAUAUUGAGGCUUACGGUGAUUCGUUACUAGUAGUGCAGCAAGUAUCCAAAGUCUUUCAGUGUUUGGACGAAUCACUUAAUGUUUAUCUUGAUAAAUGUCUGGAUAUAAUUUCUACAUUGGAUUGUUUUAGCAUUACUCAUAUAUCUAGGCAUGACAAUUGGAGAGCAAAUGAGUUGGCACAGCAAGCAUCCGGC
RNAcentral lists this ribosomal RNA (327 nucleotides) under Triticum aestivum (bread wheat). Its description in RNAcentral is "partial small subunit ribosomal RNA". The record is from RNAcentral. Lineage: Eukaryota; Viridiplantae; Streptophyta; Magnoliopsida; Poales; Poaceae.